GUAACAAGGUUUCCGUAGGUGAACCUGCGGAAGGAUCAUUGUCGAAACCCAAGUAAGAAAGACUUGUUAACAUGUAGCAAUACACGAUUUGAUUGUCGGGGCCAUCUUUUUGGUUUGCCCAUGACGAACAAAAACACCGGCGCAGCAGCGUCAAGGAUUUCAGAACGAGAAUGCAACCCGCAGAGCUCUACUCUGAUGUUUGUGAGGUUGGCAUCCUUUAAAUAAAAAUGACUCUCGGCAAUGGAUAUCUCGGCUCUCGCAUCGAUGAAGAACGUAGCGAAAUGCGAUACUUGGUGUGAAUUGCAGAAUCCCGUGAACCAUCGAAACUUUGAACGCAAGUUGCGCCUCAAGCCAUUAGGUUGAGGGCACGCUUGCUUGGGUGUCAUGCAUUGUGUCUCCCCUCUGGUGUGUGGAGUGGGAAGAGAUCGUGGCCUCCUGGGCCCUUCCUUGGGUGUGGUUGGCCGAAAUUGUCGUCCUUGAUUUCGUGAUGUCUUGGUGUGCGGUGGAUGUACCCAGYGUGCAUAAUUGUCAGCCUUGCUCGACUUCAUUGUGGCGUUGGGAUCCUAUGAAGCUGUCAGUGUUGGCUCUUUGAUUGCGACCCCAAGUCAGGCGAGACUACCCGCUGAGUUUAAGC
RNAcentral lists this ribosomal RNA (634 nucleotides) under Cuscuta bifurcata. Its description in RNAcentral is "eukaryotic LSU rRNA". The stretch from base 230 to 385 matches the Rfam family "5.8S ribosomal RNA". Lineage: Eukaryota; Viridiplantae; Streptophyta; Magnoliopsida; Solanales; Convolvulaceae. The record is from RNAcentral.